CCCUUAGAUGUCCUGGGCCGCACGCGCGCUACACUGAUGCAUGCAACGAGUUUAUAACCUUGGCCUGAAAGGUCUGGGUAAUCUUUUGAACGUGCAUCGUGAUAGGGAUAGAUUAUUGCAAUUGUUAAUCUUGAACGAGGAAUUCCUAGUAAACGCGAGUCAUCAGCUCGCAUUGAUUACGUCCCUGCCCUUUGUACACACCGCCCGUCGCACCUACCGAUUGAAUGGUUCGGUGAAGAUCUCGGACUUCGAUAUUUAUUCUUUAUUGAGUUUAUAUUGUGGGAAGCUAUCUAAACCUCAUCAUUUAGAGGAAGGUGAAGUCGUAACA
Molecule: ribosomal RNA, 328 nt
Filed under: uncultured eukaryote
Lineage: Eukaryota
Description: partial 18S ribosomal RNA
Rfam family: Eukaryotic small subunit ribosomal RNA
Source: RNAcentral